RNAcentral lists this long non-coding RNA (409 nucleotides) under Salmo salar (Atlantic salmon). RNAcentral's name for it is "lncRNA (ENSSSAG00000121462.1)". The record is from RNAcentral. Lineage: Eukaryota; Metazoa; Chordata; Actinopteri; Salmoniformes; Salmonidae.
CACAGAUAAAAGGUCAAGAAAAACCAGGAAGAGAGAGAGAGGGCGGGAAGGAUCUAUGAACCAUAGAGAAAGAGACAAUCUACAUUGGCUGGAUUUACCGUGUACAAGCUUGACUGUUUUGGACUUACCUGUUGGCGUUUAGACCUGGACCUACCGAGAACCAGAUUUGUGUACCGAACCCUGCUAUCCUUGACCUUACCUGUGGCCUGGGUGGACCAGGACAGCGAAACAAACACACAGACAGCCGUUACAGAAUUACCCACCAAACCCGGACCAAGCGGCGGAAGAGGAAGGAGCAGCAGGAGUAUAGCGUUAUGGACCAAUGGACUUGGGAACAGAUCCUGGACGGAGAGGGACCAUGGACUCAGGCUGGGGAAUAUCGCCUCCCUCAGUGGGAGAUUGAAGCGGC